This is a long non-coding RNA of Bolinopsis microptera, 611 nucleotides long. RefSeq lists it as uncharacterized. NCBI's taxonomy places the organism in Eukaryota, Metazoa, Ctenophora, Tentaculata, Lobata, Bolinopsidae. The transcript is spliced from 5 exons. The record is from RefSeq and is a predicted model, not a curated record.
AUCAUUUUAGCUAAGUUCUAUCUCUCCCAGCUCCCUCGUCGAGAUACUUCUUUUUGUCAACUGUGACGGGCCCGCUCAAGAUGGCCGCGGAGAGAGCAGUAAAGACAGAAGCUGAAGAGGACGAUAUAGAAGCAGGAGGGUCAUUACGUAUGGAAUAAGUGAAUCUGACGAUGAGAAAAAAAGCUGCUGAAGUUUUUGGUUUAAAGCUAAUGGUACUGGUAGUUUUGCUUUUGGUAUUUGAGACGGACUUUGGGAACUAAAACUUUCUUUGAAAACCCCUCUAAACAGGAGGUGAUCUACAAUAAUGAAAGAUGAUCUAUUUCUGGCCAGAAAUUUGCGGAGUUCAAUCGUCUUGAUAUCAGUCUUGGCUGCAGUUGUAUCUCUAAAAAUCAGUGACGGUUUGAGGAGACACUGCAUCUCACUGCUCAGUGGAGACACGGGGAUAUGAAGCAGUUUUCCCUCUCAAAGUCCACUGAACGUUGUCACAGUCCGAUCAGAGUAAGCAGCAAAGAUAAAAAGAGACUUUACCUCUGAUGUCAGACAGAUAAAUUUUGACGAAAACAGACCUCGGAGGGUUUAGUAAAGUAAACAGACUGGCUAUGGUCCUAGUA